CAUGAAGCUGGAAUCGCUAGUAAUCGCGAAUCNGAAUGUCGCGGUGAAUACGUUCCCGGGUCUUGUACACACCGCCCGUCACACCAUGGGAGUCGGAAAUGCCCGAAGUCAGUGACCUAACCGAAAGGGAGGAGCUGCCGAAGGUGGAGCCGGUAACUGGGGUGAAGUCGUAACAAGGUACC
Molecule: ribosomal RNA, 182 nt
Filed under: uncultured bacterium
Lineage: Bacteria
Description: partial 16S ribosomal RNA
Rfam family: Bacterial small subunit ribosomal RNA
Source: RNAcentral